Molecule: non-coding RNA, 508 nt
Organism: Malus domestica (apple)
Lineage: Eukaryota; Viridiplantae; Streptophyta; Magnoliopsida; Rosales; Rosaceae
Source: RefSeq, a predicted model, not a curated record
CAUUCACAUAAAUGCAUAAGCUCUCUUGUUGUUUUUCCUCUUCCCCUCCUCUCCUCUGUUUUCAUGAAAGCAAAAUAAAAGCAAAUCAUUCUGAGCUUAACUUUACAGGUUGGGCCUCGUUUGGCACAUGCCAUAAUAGUACUAUUUAAUACGAAUCCGGAGAAACAGAGGUGGCAGAGGGGGAGGUGAGGACGAGCUAAUAAUAAUUUAGAAUAAUUGAUAAAAGAAGAGGAUGGAACUUCUGCAGCUGUUCGUGACGGCCUCAAUUCCGGUGUUGAAAGUGCUUUUGAUAACAGCACUUGGCUCUUAUCUUGCUCUUGAUCGUGUCGAUAUUUUGGGGGAAGUUACUAGAAAGAACUUAAACACUGUUGUAUUUUAUGUGUUCAGUCCUGCUCUCGUGGGUUCCAACCUUGCGAAGACAAUUACAUAUGAAAGCAUGGUUAAAAUGUGAGUUGUAAUUACUUUGUUCGAUCUACAUAUAUACAUACAUGUAUAUAUAAUCAUGUGA